ACCCUCUCUACACUUGCCCCGCUCAUGCUCGCUCUCUCUCUCUCUCUCUCAAAAAUAAACAAUAAAAAACAAUAAAUAAAAAAAUGAAAUAGCAGUUCUAAAAACAGAGUGGCAGACAAAAAUGGGGAGAUGUUAUGGAACUUAAUUGGAAUCUAUUACGUGAAAGCAAGAGAUGAUAGCUUUAUAAGAAAGUACCCAUAGAAAUUAGGAAGAGAAUACUAGGAGACCUGAGGUGUAUAAUUUUGGAGUGAAUUUAAAGAGAGGAUGGAGAAAAGUAGAUUCAGCUGAGAACACUCAAAUGGAACCACUUGGUCUUAGUUAUCUAUUGUCGUGUAGCAGUAUUACCACAAAUUAGUGGCUUAAAAGCACACAUUUAUUGUCUCACUACUUCUGUGAGUCAGAAAUCUGGGCACAGCGCAGCUGGACCCUCUGUUUUAGAGUUUCACAAAGCUGGCAUCAGGGUUUCAGCUGGGACUGUGAUCUUAUCUGAGGCUCAGCUGGGGAAGGAUCUAUCUUGAAGCUCAUGUGGUUGUUGACAGAAUUUAGUUUCCUGUAAAUAUUAUUGGACUGAAGGCCUCUUUUUCUUGAGGGCUGCUAGCUGGAAGUCACCCAUAGUUGCUUGACAUUUGGUAUUCCCACCAUAGCCACUUGCUCUGUCAAAGCUAGCAAGAGAAGCUUUUAGUGAGACACAUGGCAUAUUCCUAUCUAGUUGUGUAAUCCCAGAAGUGGAAUACCAUCACUUUUGCUAUAGUCAGAAUCAAGUCACGUGUGUUACACACACUCAGAAGGAAGAAGUCACAAAGGGGCAUGGCUACCAAAGAAUGGAUCAGCUGGGGUCAUCCUUGGUUCUGUCUACCACAGUUAGUUGCAUAGAAAAUCAAGAGGGUUUAAUCUGGUAGUCAGUGUUGGUUCCAUGAUUCAGACAGUGGCACAGAAGAGUUAAACAGUGAUAAACUAUAAGGAGAUGCCUGGGAAUGUCACAAUAACACAACUCCUUCAUAUGCCACUGGAAGAUCAAACUCAACAAAGCAUUUAGUGGGAUGGUGUGGUACAUGGAAGAUUACACAUAUAAAUGCUUAGGGCCGGGCCUGAACAUAGUAGGUUUUCAGUAAAUAUUUGACUCAGAAAUUGAUGAAAACAAAUCAGUGAAUAAGCAAAUGACUACAAUUAUAGGAGUCAGAGUUCAGGCAAGAAGUAGAACUGGUGUACAUCAGUCAAAAUAUCUGAGAGUCAAGUAGGUGGCAUAUUGCAUUAAAAUAUUGCCGAAAAUGUUCUUCAAGACAAAUAUUUUUUUUAUCUUCAUAAGAGAACUAUUUUUUUUCUGACAGUCAAGUAACCGAAGGAUAAGAUCUACUAAAAUAAAAAAAAGUUAUCAAAUACACAUUCAGUUGGAAAUAUAUGAACAUAGAGAUUCCAUAUUCAUGGGGUGAUUAAGAAUUUCUCACUAACUAGAGGCAAUACAUUGCAAUUUCCUGCGUAAUUCCAAGGAAUAAGAUGAACAUUCCCUAUAUCAAAAUAGAGAUUUAUUCUCAGCUGUAAUCCAGCCUAUUCUAGAUGCUAAGAUUUGAUUGGUGCUGAUCCGAAGACCUUUGUUAAAUUUUGUGUAAAUUUAUUAGUACAUUUAGACUUUUUUUCAAAAAAAAAAAAAAAAAACCAUUAACACCCUGACUUCCUAACUUUCUCUCUUCUAUUGUAGGAAAAAGCCAACUCUUGCUAAGAUUCCUGUGGCUUCUCUGACUGGCUUAUCCAUAUACUACAAAAUAGACACAUGAGCCAUAUCAUUGAUCACAUUGAGUUGCUUCUCAUUUCAUCAAAUCAACAAAUAGUGAGAGUCUAUCAUGUGCAAUGUACUGUAAUGGCUUUGAGUAAAUUUUCCUUCAAUUCUGUAAUACUCUCCUCUCUUCUGAAGAGCAUUUAAGUUUGAUUUGGGGAAACUUAGCAAGACAAAUAAGACUUUAUAUAAAGCUUUGAGCUAAUUUGCAUAUAUCUACAACACUGUUCCCAUGGUAUGCCUCAAAAAGGAUUUACAAUCUCCUUUAAAAAAAUAGAGAAAAUAAAGUUUACCAUAUGAUACAUGCUAUAAAUCAGGUAUCUAGAGAUAAUUCCCAUUGCUGCUAUAUAUCUGCAUAAAGUAUAUAACAAAACAAGAACAACUGCAGAUGAAAAUAACCUAAAUUUAAAUGAUAAUAUUUAGAGUGGUAAUAUUUAGAGAAUAAUCCCUCCAUUCACAUUGUCAGUAUAUUUUUUAUCUGCAUAUAUGUCAUGACAUUGGCUAUGUGUUUAUUUGUGUCAGUGAAUUAUAACAGAAAUGAAUUUCAGACAAUACAAUCAUAAACAUCUGGGCUUUGCAACACAUGGUCUGCUGAGUUUUGAAUAUGAAAUAGUUUUGAUUUCAUUUCUAAUAGUAAAAGGAAGUAGGAUAUCAUGAGGUAAUUUAUGGUAUUGUGCUGCUGAGAAGGAAAUAGUCUCAUUUACACUAUUGUUUACAAUCUCCUUUAUAUCCAUAUGCUGUUCCAUGUCUAAGGGUAGAUGAUGUGAUGAACUUGAAAUUGGAGUUCUAUUAGUUUUCAGGACAAUGCUUGGGAUAUGAUAGGCGCUCAAGAAUAUUUGAUGAGUGGGUGAAUAAAUUGCAAUGAGUAAAGUUUUAUGAGCAAAUUUGGGAACCCAUUUCAGGCAAAUACUGAGUUUUUAUCAACAUCAUUUUAACAUAAUCUUAUUAGGCACAGACUUGUAACAUCUUUAAACUGACAAAACCAUAAUCAAAACCAGCCCUUACCCACACACAGUUACAGACUAGCCAGUGUAAAAAAAAAAAAAAAAAAAAAAAAAAGCUGACUGCAAUUCUAGCGCUAAGGGUGGUGAAUGAGAAGGCCCAGACCAUGAUGGUAUAAUCUGCAUCUACUUCGACCAGCCAUGACAGUACUGGGACAGAAGAUGGCAGAGUAGAAGAGACAGGUUCCCUGUUCUCCCAAAGCUUAGGGUCUGGUAGAGGACACAUACAAAGCAAUCCCAAUGGAUAACGGUUUCAAGAACCCACACUGCCAUAUGCAAUUUGCACAGCCCUGCUGUAUCACCAGUGCCUUGCCUUAGUGUAGACACUCAAUAAAUGUUUGCUAAAAAAAUAAAUCAGAGAAGUCUGAGAGAAGUGGAUGAUCUUAUCAAGGUCAAGGCUAACAAUGGCAGGAAUCCUAGAUUUUAAGGAUGGCCAAAAAACUUGGUGUAACACAACUGGAAUGCAGAAAUGAGCUCACAGAAAGUAUACUGAAGGACUAAAGGGCAUAGGAAGUGGAUCUCUGGCAAACAUAAGGAGAAGUUUCAUGGAGAGGACCAAAGUCAGCACACUGUUGGGGUACCAGUGAAGUGAGGAGAAAAUUAGGAGGUCUGAAUUGCAAAAGAGCCUACAGUUCCAUAUUUGGCUAGUAGAUGGUCUGGAAAUAUUUGGCACACAGAGGUCUACCAGGAAUUCUCUGUGCCUGUUUACAAUUUCAGUGCUUCAUGCUAAAUUGUGUCAUAUAAUAUAUAUUAUCAAUUAAAAUUCUAAAUAUAGCAUUGUAAUAAGAGAACUUUUUCUGUGUUUUUACAUAGCACUAAAAGCUCCGGAAAAUGGAUAUAUGAGCCCCUGAUGCAAAUUACCCGGGAAAAUUCGUAGAAAAAAAGACACAAGUGGAGCUACAACAUGUACAAGAAGAAAGAAAACCCUAGAUGUCGGAACAUGUGACUCUGAGACAUAACCAGAUGAGUUACGCCAAUAGAUUUUCAAGAGAGCUCUACCUUUAUUGAAGCCUUCAACAGUUAAAUGCAAAGAAAAUUGUUAUUAAAUCAAGUCUCUCCACUCAUGAGGUUUGGAUUUAGAACCAGGAUAAUGGUGGCUUCAAAAAUAAAUCGAGGAUGUUAUUUCCCCUUAUAUUCUCUAAGAGAUUGUAUGGAAUUGGCAUUAACUCUUUCUUUAAUGGAGAGAGAGAAGACAGCCAGUAGCUGGAGACCAUGUACAGAAGUGGAGCACUGCUUAGGAAGCAAUGAACUUUACAUUCUUGUGAAGGAACAGAAGCAGAAUCUUGAUUCUUUUGCAAAAGUUCUGGUGAUCAUCGGAAAGUCAGAGUGCUGGGUGCACAGAAUGGAAAAGUGGGAAAAUAUGCAGGCAAGAAACAACCAGACCUCUACUCAAGGGCCAAGCUAAUCUAGAGGAUACAUUGUCCUUUCCUUUGCAUGUCUCGAAGACAGCGGAAGGCCUUGCCCAAGGAAACGUGUUAACCUGAGAUAGAAUGACAGCAAUAAUAAUCCUGGUAAAAAACAGAUAUUUGCACCAUGCUCCAUGUCCUUCACUUCAUGCUUACUGUAUGUCAGGAAUAUUUCUAAGCUCUUAAUACUCGUGAAUUUAGCUAAUCUUUACAAGAGCCCCAUAAAGUACGAGCUGGUAUAACCCCCCCCCCUUUAAUUUUCUAAUGAGAAAAGAGAAGAAAAGGAAGUUUACUAACUUCCUUAAGAUCAUACAUCUGGCAAGGGGCAGAACUAUUAUUUGAACCCAGGCAGUCAUUCUCCAGUGUCCCAGCUUUAAGUCAACAUAUGUCCCUACCUCAAGUCUUUUGACUCUAGAUCUAGCACUAGUAUGUAUUGAACAUCUGAGGCAAGUAUGGUCUCUUAUGGAGAGUUUGAAUAAUGGCCCUGCUCGCAAGGUGAAGGAGCUCUGAGAAAACUCACAAAGACUCAUACCUGAGGCCGAAAUGAUCUAGAUUGGAAUGGGAUGCAUUUGCAUCCAGGAUCUUCAAGCCUCAUCUGAGGACACUAGGGUAUCUUAUUAUGUUUUCUUUAGCAGCUUCUCCUUGAGAUUGAGUUAUUGGGUGUGAUGGAAUUAGAGGAAGAAGUUGACAUUUUUGAACAUUACACAUAUCACUUAAAGUAAAAUCCUUUCCAUAAGGGUUUUCAACAAAAUAACAACAAAAAAGUUUUUGAGAUACUUAAAUUAUGUUGGUUUACUGGACAGUAUCUUUGAAAAGAUCCAGAUUUGAAGCUGAAGUAUGUUCCCAUCAUAACUUAGUGGAUUUUGAUGUGGGUUAAAACUAGAAUAACAUUCUUGUUGUUGGCUGACAUUCAGGCAUUGGCAGUCCAGGUCUCAACAAAUAGAAAACACUCACCUUUCCCUGGGUUGCUAGAGAGGGAGGCCUACUACCUUCAUCCCUGCCUCUUUUCCUUUUACAGUGGGUAAUGGUAGAUAUAAAGAGGUAUAAAUUACUGAAACCACCGUACUCUCCUUAUUUAUUUAUAAAAUGAUAGACAAAGACAAAUCCACAGCUUUUGUUUUUGUUUUUUUUUCUUGUUAAGUAUUCAGUACUGUUUCUGGUAAAUUAGAUGACAAAGCUAAGCCCACAUGUGAAUGCAAAGAAGGGCUGAGUAAGGUGGAUGGGAGAGAUUGACGUUAAAUUUUCUGCCUGGAAUCUCUCUCAGACUUUCAGAGUCUAUAGAUAUUGGGGAAGUUUCUUGUCUACUCUAUUUAAUCUGAUAAUAUUCCAAAUAGGAAUAAUGGAGAAGGGCUUCUGACCACAAACAGGAGUCAACUUAGGGACCAGAGAUGACCUAGGGAAAUCCAGUUUAAGUGUCCCUGACCUUUUAACUUACUAUCUGUCCUCAUAGUAAAUAACACAGGUAUGUACUUUUCCAAAUUUUUCAACUUCCUAAUACACAAGCUUUUUAAUAACCUUGUCUUCAUGCUCUUAAACAAAAAAAUGGUUUUUUGGUCUUGAAAUCUAUGUGCUUACUUCCUUAUAUGUUAUCUUAGGAUGUUUGUUUAGGCCAGAAAAAUACAUACAUGUGGAGGCCUGUGGCUCAAAAUGGAAAAUUUGGAAAAGAUCCUCUCUAUAACAAGACCUCUGAUAAAAAGCUGAGAAUUUCAGGGAUGAGAAGAGGAACAGGGCAUUUCUGGGUUUUAAGCUCAUUUUCUUUCUUGGAAAUCCAUCCAGAUUAACACAAAUGAGGAUAUAUCUUAUCUGCGUGAGAGAAGAAAGAAGAAAGGAUCAUUCUCAGCCCAAAAAUCUGCAAAUCAAGCAUACAACAAGUGAGAGGAUACUAAUGCAGAGAGAAAUGGAAGAGGGAGGGCAUCGGGGUAGGUGUUUCAUAGACCUUUUGCAUAAAUCCUGGGUGCCACGCAAGGGCUAGAAGCAUCAGGUAUUAUGAAGGUUAAGAUGGCUGGGGAGCAUUUGGG
Molecule: long non-coding RNA, 6196 nt
Organism: Felis catus (domestic cat)
Lineage: Eukaryota; Metazoa; Chordata; Mammalia; Carnivora; Felidae
Exons: 8
Source: RefSeq, a predicted model, not a curated record